RNAcentral lists this long non-coding RNA (344 nucleotides) under Homo sapiens (human). RNAcentral describes it as "HSALNT0390673". The record is from RNAcentral. Lineage: Eukaryota; Metazoa; Chordata; Mammalia; Primates; Hominidae.
GGCUUGGGUAUGUCCUUAUCAGCAGCAUGAAAAUGGACUAAUACAAAUAUGCUGAGUUAAGUCCUGGACAAGAAACACUUUGCCAACCUCUGGACUAGACUGAGUAAAGCAAGCAGAAAGAUCCAAUUUUAAAAAGAGGUGAGGAAAAUGGGACAACUUGGCUAUGGAGAGAGCAAGAAGAAUGCAACUGAUGUGCACAAAGUUUGAAGACAAAGUUACUCAGUUUAGAUCAGGGGUCCACAACCCCCAGCCAUGGACCAGUACUGAUUUGUGGCCUGUUAGGAACUCAGUUGCAGUAGGAGGUGAAUGCCAGGUGAGUGAGGGAAGCUUCAACUUUAUUUAAA